This 540-nucleotide ribosomal RNA is filed under the name uncultured Tuberibacillus sp. RNAcentral describes it as "bacterial SSU rRNA". It matches the Rfam family "Bacterial small subunit ribosomal RNA", at positions 38 to 507 of the family's 1533-position model. Lineage: Bacteria; Bacillati; Bacillota; Bacilli; Caryophanales; Sporolactobacillaceae. The record is from RNAcentral.
GUAGUUUCGACGUCCGAGGCCAGACGGACGACGCUGGGCGGCGUGACCUAAUACAUGCAAGUCGAGCGCGGGAAGCGGACGGAUCCCUUCGGGGUGAUGUCCGUGGAACGAGCGGCGGACCGGGUGAGUAACACGUGGGCAACCUGCCCGUAAGACCGGGAUAACUCCGGGAAAACCGGGGCUAAUACCGGAUAGGCUUUUGCCCCGCAUGGGGCAAAAGGGAAAGAUGGUUUCGGCCAUCGCUUACGGAUGGGCCCGCGGCGCAUUAGCUAGUUGGUGAGGUAACGGCUCACCAAGGCGACGAUGCGUAGCCGACCUGAGAGGGUGAUCGGCCACACUGGGACUGAGACACGGCCCAGACUCCUACGGGAGGCAGCGAGUAGGGAAUCUUCCGCAAUGGACGCAAGUCUGACGGAGCGACGCCGCGUGAGCGAGGAAGGCCUUCGGGUCGUAAAGCUCUGUUGUCGGAGACGAACAAACGCCAUAGGAAAUGAUGGCGUCCUGACGGUAUCCGACGAGAAAGCCCCGGCUAACUACGUG